This 301-nucleotide ribosomal RNA is filed under the name uncultured bacterium. RNAcentral's name for it is "partial 16S ribosomal RNA". It matches the Rfam family "Bacterial small subunit ribosomal RNA", at positions 509 to 807 of the family's 1533-position model. The record is from RNAcentral.
CAGCAGCCGCGGUAAUACAGAGGCCUCAAGCGUUGUUCGGAUUCAUUGGGCGUAAAGGGUGCGUAGGUGGCUUGGUAAGUUGAAGGUGAAAUCUCGGGGCUUAACCCCGAAACUGCCUUCAAUACUGCUAGGCUCGAGGACUGUAGAGGAGAAUGGAAUUCACGGUGUAGCAGUGAAAUGCGUAGAUAUCGUGAGGAAGACCAGUGGCGAAGGCGAUUCUCUGGGCAGUUCCUGACACUGAGGCACGAAGGCCAGGGGAGCAAACGGGAUUAGAUACCCCAGUAGUCCCUGUCUCUUAUAC